RNAcentral lists this ribosomal RNA (301 nucleotides) under uncultured bacterium. RNAcentral's name for it is "partial 16S ribosomal RNA". It matches the Rfam family "Bacterial small subunit ribosomal RNA", at positions 509 to 807 of the family's 1533-position model. The record is from RNAcentral.
CAGCAGCCGCGGUAAUACGUAGGUGGCAAGCGUUGUCCGGAAUUAUUGGGCGUGAAGGGCUCGCAGGCGGUUUCUUAAGUCUGAUGUGAAAGCCCCCGGCUCAACCGGGGAGGGUCAUUGGAAACUGGGAAACUUGAGUGCAGAAGAGGAGAGUGGAGUUCCACGUGUAGCGGUGAAAUGCGUAGAGAUGUGGAGGAACGCCAGUGGCGAAGGCGACUCUCUGGUCUGUAACUGACGCUGAGGAGCGAAAGCGUGGGGAGCGAACAGGAUUAGAUACCCGAGUAGUCCCUGUCUCUUAUAC